AUUGAACGCUGGCGGGAUGCUUUACACAUGCAAGUCGAACGGCAGCGCGGACUUCGGUCUGGCGGCGAGUGGCGAACGGGUGAGUAAUGUAUCGGAACGUGCCCAGUAGCGGGGGAUAACUACGCGAAAGCGUAGCUAAUACCGCAUACGCCCUACGGGGGAAAGCAGGGGAUCGUAAGACCUUGCACUAUUGGAGCGGCCGAUAUCGGAUUAGCUAGUUGGUGAGGUAACGGCUCACCAAGGCGACGAUCCGUAGCGGGUUUGAGAGGGCGACGAGCCACACUGGGACUGAGGCGCGGCCCAGGCGCCUACGGGAGGCAGCAGUGGGGAAUUUUGGACAAUGGGGGCAACCCUGAUCCAGCCAUCCCGCGUGUGCGAUGAAGGCCUUCGGGUUGUAAAGCACUUUUGGCAGGAAAGAAACGUCGCGGGCUAAUACCCCGUGGAACUGACGGUACCUGCAGAAUAAGCACCGGCUAACUACGU
Molecule: ribosomal RNA, 483 nt
Filed under: uncultured bacterium
Lineage: Bacteria
Description: partial 16S ribosomal RNA
Rfam family: Bacterial small subunit ribosomal RNA
Source: RNAcentral